Molecule: ribosomal RNA, 497 nt
Filed under: uncultured bacterium
Lineage: Bacteria
Description: partial 16S ribosomal RNA
Rfam family: Bacterial small subunit ribosomal RNA
Source: RNAcentral
GAUGAACGCUGGCGGCGUGCCUAAUACAUGCAAGUCGAGCGAACAGACGAGGAUCUUUCUCCUCUGACGUUAGCGGCGGACGGGUGAGUAACACGUGGAUAACCUACCUAUAAGACUGGUAUGACUUCGGGAAACCGGAGCUAAUACCGGAUAAUAUAUUGCACCUCAUGGUUCAAUAGUGAAAUACGGUUUUGCUGUCACUUAUAGAUGGAUCCGCGCCGCAUUAGCUAGUUGGUAAGGUAACUGCUUACCAACGCAACGAUGCGUAGCCGACCUGAGAGGGUGGUCGGCCACCCUGGAACUGAGACACGGUCCAGACUCCGACGGGAGGCAGCAGUAGGGAAUCUUCCGCAAUGGGCGAAUGCUUGACGGAGCAAAGCCGCGUGAGUCAUGAAGGUCUUCGGAUCGUAAAACUCUGUUAUUAGGGAAGAACAAAUGUGUAAGUAACUAUGCACGUAUUGACGGUACCUAAUCAGAAAGCCACGGCUAACUACGUG